This 254-nucleotide ribosomal RNA is filed under the name uncultured bacterium. RNAcentral's name for it is "partial 16S ribosomal RNA". It matches the Rfam family "Bacterial small subunit ribosomal RNA", at positions 524 to 776 of the family's 1533-position model. The record is from RNAcentral.
UACGAGGGGAGCAAGCGUUGUUCGGAUUUACUGGGCGUAAAGGGCGCGUAGGCGGUGCGAUAAGUCAGGCGUGAAAGGCCCGGGCUCAACCCGGGGACUGCGCUUGAUACUGUUGCGCUGUGAGUCCGGGAGAGGAUGGCGGAAUUCCCAGUGUAGAGGUGAAAUUCGUAGAUAUUGGGAAGAACACCGGUGGCGAAGGCGGCGAGCUGGUCCAUUACUGACGCUGAGGCGCGACAGCGUGGGGAGCAAACAGG